RNAcentral lists this ribosomal RNA (319 nucleotides) under uncultured Prevotella sp. RNAcentral describes it as "bacterial SSU rRNA". It matches the Rfam family "Bacterial small subunit ribosomal RNA", at positions 28 to 339 of the family's 1533-position model. Lineage: Bacteria; Pseudomonadati; Bacteroidota; Bacteroidia; Bacteroidales; Prevotellaceae. The record is from RNAcentral.
GAUGAACGCUAGCUACAGGCUUAACACAUGCAAGUCGAGGGGCAGCAUGGUUGUUGCUUGCAACAACUGAUGGCGACCGGCGCACGGGUGAGUAACGCGUAUCCAACCUUCCCCAAGUAGGGAAUAGCCCGGCGAAAGUCGGAUUAAUGCCCUAUGUUUUCCUUGGAUGGCAUCUGAUGAGGAACAAAGACUUGUCGCUUGGGGAUGGGGAUGCGUCUGAUUAGGCAGUCGGCGGGGUAACGGCCCACCGAGCCUUCGAUCAGUAGGGGUUCUGAGAGGAAGGUCCCCCACAUUGGAACUGAGACACGGUCCAAACUCC